RNAcentral lists this transfer RNA (69 nucleotides) under Marmota monax (woodchuck). It matches the Rfam family "tRNA". Rfam says of the family: Transfer RNA (tRNA) molecules are approximately 80 nucleotides in length. Their secondary structure includes four short double-helical elements and three loops (D, anti-codon, and T loops). The record is from Rfam by way of RNAcentral. Lineage: Eukaryota; Metazoa; Chordata; Mammalia; Rodentia; Sciuridae.
GUGGGUGUAGCUCAGUGGUAGAGCUUGCCUAGCACACUGGAUGCUCUGGGUUCAAUUCCCAGUACCACG